This 273-nucleotide ribosomal RNA is filed under the name uncultured bacterium. Its description in RNAcentral is "partial 16S ribosomal RNA". It matches the Rfam family "Bacterial small subunit ribosomal RNA", at positions 28 to 299 of the family's 1533-position model. The record is from RNAcentral.
GAUGAACGCUAGCGGCAGGCCUAAUACAUGCAAGCCGAACGGUAAUUCUGAUAGCAAUAUUGGAACUAGAGUGGCGUAAGGGUGCGUAACACGUAUGCAAUCUACCCGCAACAGGAGGAUAGCUCCCCGAAAGGGGAAUUAACCCUCCAUGAGAUCACACGAGGGCAUCCGAGAGUGAUUAAAUUUGAGGAGGUUGUGGAUGAGCAUGCGACUGAUAGCUAGUUGGCAGUGUAACGGACUACCAAGGCGAUGAUCAGUAGGGGAACUGAGAGG